ACACAUGCAAGUCGAACGGAAAGGCCCUGCUUUUGUGGGGUGCUCGAGUGGCGAACGGGUGAGUAACACGUGAGUAACCUGCCCUUGACUUUGGGAUAACUUCAGGAAACUGGGGCUAAUACCGGAUAGGAGCUCCUGCUGCAUGGUGGGGGUUGGAAAGUUUCGGCGGUUGGGGAUGGACUCGCGGCUUAUCAGCUUGUUGGUGGGGUAGUGGCUUACCAAGGCUUUGACGGGUAGCCGGCCUGAGAGGGUGACCGGCCACAUUGGGACUGAGAUACGGCCCAGACUCCUACGGGAGGCAGCAGUGGGGAAUAUUGCACAAUGGGCGGAAGCCUGAUGCAGCAACGCCGCGUGCGGGAUGACGGCCUUCGGGUUGUAAACCGCUUUCGCCUGUGACGAAGCGUGAGUGACGGUAAUGGGUGAAGAAGCACCGGCUAACUACGUGCCAGCAGCCGCGGUGAUACGUAGGGUGCGAGCGUUGUCCGGAUUUAUUGGGCGUAAAGGGCUCGUAGGUGGUUGAUCGCGUCGGAAGUGUAAUCUUGGGGCUUAACCCUGAGCGUGCUUUCGAUACGGGUUGACUUGAGGAAGGUAGGGGAGAAUGGAAUUCCUGGUGGAGCGGUGGAAUGCGCAGAUAUCAGGAGGAACACCAGUGGCGAAGGCGGUUCUCUGGGCCUUUCCUGACGCUGAGGAGCGAAAGCGUGGGGAGCGAACAGGCUUAGAUACCCUGGUAGUCCACGCUGUAAACGGUGGGUACUAGGUGUGGGGUCCAUUCCACGGGUUCCGUGCCGUAGCUAACGCUUUAAGUACCCCGCCUGGGGAGUACGGCCGCAAGGCUAAAACUCAAAGGAAUUGACGGGGCCCCGCACAAGCGGCGGAGCAUGCGGAUUAAUUCGAUGCAACGCGUAGAACCUUACCUGGGUUUGACAUGGAUCGGGAGUGCUCAGAGAUGGGUGUGCCUCCUUUGGGGUCGGUUCACAGGUGGUGCAUGGCUGUCGUCAGCUCGUGUCGUGAGAUGUUGGGUUAAGUCCCGCAACGAGCGCAACCCUUGUUCACUGUUGCCAGCACGUUAUGGUGGGGACUCAGUGGAGACCGCCGGGGUCAACUCGGAGGAAGGUGGGGAUGACGUCAAGUCAUCAUGCCCCUUAUGUCCAGGGCUUCACGCAUGCUACAAUGGCUGGUACAGAGAGUGGCGAGCCUGUGAGGGUGAGCGAAUCUCGGAAAGCCGGUCUCAGUUCGGAUUGGGGUCUGCAACUCGACCUCAUGAAGUCGGAGUCGCUAGUAAUCGCAGAUCAGCAACGCUGCGGUGAAUACGUUCCCGGGGCUUGUACACACCGCCCGUCAAGUCAUGAAAGUUGGUAACACCCGAAGCCGGUGGCCUAACCGUUGUGGGGGAGCCGUCGAAGGUGGGACUGGUGAUUAGG
Molecule: ribosomal RNA, 1421 nt
Filed under: uncultured organism
Description: 16S ribosomal RNA
Rfam family: Bacterial small subunit ribosomal RNA
Source: RNAcentral